UUUUUAGUGGCAUGUCCUGGACCCGAAGCGGGGUGAUCUACCCAUGGCCAGUGUGAAGCAGCUGUAAGAGGUUGUGGAGGCGCGAACCCACGUAGGUUGAAAACUGCGGGGAUGAGCUGUGGGUAGGGGUGAAAGGCCAAUCAAACUCCGUGAUAGCUGGUUCUCCCCGAAAUGCAUUUAGGUGCAGCGUCGCAUUAGCUUGGUGGAGGUAGAGCUACUGGUUGGUUGAGCGGGACUACAAUCUUAGCAAUGUCAGCCAAACUCCGAAUGCCAUUAAUGUGUUGUGCGGCAGUGAGACUGUGGGGGAUAAGCUUCAUAGUCGAGAGGGAAACAGCCCAGAUCGCCGGUUAAGGCCCCUAAGGGUGUGCUAAGUGGAAAAGGAUGUGGGAUCGCGAAGACAGCCAGGAGGUUGGCUUAGAAGCAGCCAUCCUUGAAAGAGUGCGUAAUAGCUCACUGGUCGAGUGGUUUCGCGCCGACAAUGUAGUGGGGCUCAAGCACACCGCCGAAGCCGCGGCAAUACUUUUGUUAUUGGGUAGGGGAGCGUCGUGCAUGUUGUGAAGCGUUACCGUAAGGCGGCGUGGAGUAUGUGCGAGUGAGAAUGCAGGCAUGAGUAACGAAUUGGUAGGUGAGAAUCCUACCCGCCGGAUGACUAAGGGUUCCUGGGUCAAGUUCGUCUUCCCAGGGUGAGUCGGGACCUAAGGCGAGGCCGACAGGCGUAGUCGAUGGAUAACCAGUUGAUAUUCUGGUACCCGUAUACAUGCGCCCCUGAUAAAGCACUGAUACUAACCACCGCGGAUACGACACGUAACUAACUUUGUUGGUUGGUGUUGUUGAUGUCGUGGGGCCUGAUGUGUGGUUCAAGCGAUGGGGUGACACAGUGGGGUAGCCAAGCCGCUUAAUGGAUUGUUGGUGUAAGCGUGUAGCCGGAGGCAUAGGUAAAUCCGUGCCUUAAUUGAAGGUGAGACGUGAUGCGUAGCCCGAUUGGGGUGAAGUUGGUGAUCCCGUGCUGUCGAGAAAAGCCUCUAGCGAUGUAUGUAUAUGGCCCGUACCCUAAACCGACACAGGUAGUCAGGUUGAAAAUACUAAGGCGUUCGGGUGAACUGUGGUUAAGGAACUCGGCAAAAUGCCCCCGUAACUUCGGGAGAAGGGGGACCACAUACCGUGACAAGUCCUUGCGGCUUGAAGCGGUGUGGGGUCGCAGAGAAUAGAGGGAAGCGACUGUUUAUCAAAAACACAGGUCCAUGCGAAGACGUUAAGUUGAUGUAUAUGGACUGACGCCUGCCCGGUGCUGGAAGGUUAAGAGGACCGGUUAGUACAUCGUUGAUGUGCGAAGCUGAGAAUUUAAGCCCCAGUAAACGGCGGUGGUAACUAUAACCAUCCUAAGGUAGCGAAAUUCCUUGUCGGGUAAGUUCCGACCUGCACGAAUGGCGUAACGACUUCCCUGCUGUCUCAACCACAGGCCCGGUGAAAUUGCACUACGAGUAAAGAUGCUCGUUACGCGCGGCAGGACGAAAAGACCCCGGGACCUUCACUAUAGCUUGGUAUUGGUGUUUGGUUCGGUUUGUGUAGGAUAGGUGGGAGACUUAGAAACUAUCACGCCAGUGAUGGUGGAGUCGUUGUUGAAAUACCACUCUGAUCGGAUUGAGCACCUUAACCUUGGCCCAUGAUCUGGGUUGGGGACAGUGCCUGGUGGGUAGUUUAACUGGGGCGGUUGCCUCCCAAAAUGUAACGGAGGCGCCCAAAGGUUCCCUCAGCCUGGUUGGCAAUCAGGUGUUGAGUGUAAGUGCACAAGGGAGCUUGACUGUGAGAGUGACAGCUCAAACAGGGACGAAAGUCGGGACUAGUGAUCCGGCACCUACUUAUGGAUGUGGUGUCGCUCAACGGAUAAAAGGUACCCCGGGGAUAACAGGCUGAUCUUCCCCAAGAGUUCAUAUCGACGGGAUGGUUUGGCACCUCGAUGUCGGCUCGUCGCAUCCUGGGGCUGGAGUAGGUCCCAAGGGUUGGGCUGUUCGCCCAUUAAAGCGGCACGCGAGCUGGGUUCAGAACGUCGUGAGACAGUUCGGUCUCUAUCCGCCGCGCGCGUUGAAACUUGAAGAAGGCUGUCCCUAGUACGAGAGGACCGGGACGGACGUACCUCUAGUGUGCCAGUUGUUCCGCCAGGAGCAUCGCUGGUUGGCUACGUACGGAAGGGAUAACCGCUGAAAGCAUCUAAGCGGGAAGCCUGUUUUAAGAUGAGGUUUCACUACAAGGCCCCCUAAAGACUAUGGGGUUGAUAGGCCAGACCUGGAAGCAUUGCAAAAUGUUAAGGCUACUGGUACUAAUAGGCCAAAACAAACACACACCAAACCC
Molecule: ribosomal RNA, 2349 nt
Filed under: Corynebacterium sp. HMSC072G08
Lineage: Bacteria; Bacillati; Actinomycetota; Actinomycetes; Mycobacteriales; Corynebacteriaceae
Description: bacterial LSU rRNA
Rfam family: Bacterial large subunit ribosomal RNA
Source: RNAcentral